Molecule: ribosomal RNA, 455 nt
Filed under: Marinobacter adhaerens
Lineage: Bacteria; Pseudomonadati; Pseudomonadota; Gammaproteobacteria; Pseudomonadales; Marinobacteraceae
Description: bacterial SSU rRNA
Rfam family: Bacterial small subunit ribosomal RNA
Source: RNAcentral
AUUGAACGCUGGCGGCAGGCUUAACACAUGCAAGUCGAGCGGUAACAGGGGGUGCUUGCACCCCGCUGACGAGCGGCGGACGGGUGAGUAAUGCAUAGGAAACUGCCCAGUAGUGGGGGAUAGCCCGGGGAAACCCGGAUUAAUACCGCGUACGCCCUUCGGGGGAAAGCAGGGGAUCUUCGGACCUUGCGCUAUUGGAUGUGCCUAUGUCGGAUUAGCUAGUUGGUGGGGUAAAGGCCUACCAAGGCGACGAUCCGUAGCUGGUCUGAGAGGAUGAUCAGCCACAUCGGGACUGAGACACGGCCCGAACUCCUACGGGAGGCAGCAGUGGGGAAUAUUGGACAAUGGGGGCAACCCUGAUCCAGCCAUGCCGCGUGUGUGAAGAAGGCUUUCGGGUUGUAAAGCACUUUCAGUGAGGAGGAAAACUCUGCGACUAAUACUCGUAGGGCUGACGU